RNAcentral lists this ribosomal RNA (301 nucleotides) under uncultured bacterium. RNAcentral's name for it is "partial 16S ribosomal RNA". It matches the Rfam family "Bacterial small subunit ribosomal RNA", at positions 509 to 807 of the family's 1533-position model. The record is from RNAcentral.
CAGUAGCCGCGGGAAUACGAAGGGGGCUAGCGUUACUCGGAAUUACUGGGCGUAAAGGGCGCGUAGGCGGCACGAUUAGUCAGGCGUGAAAUUCCUGGACUCAACCUGGGGACUGCGCUUGAUACGGUCGAGCUAGAGGAUGGAAGAGGGUCGUGGAAUUCCCAGUGUAGAGGUGAAAUUCGUAGAUAUUGGGAAGAACACCGGUGGCGAAGGCGGCGACCUGGUCCAUUACUGACGCUGAGGCGCGACAGCGUGGGGAGCAAACAGGAUUAGAUACCCGCGUAGUCCCUGUCUCUUAUAC